ACUCCUACGGGAGGCAGCAGGGGGGAACUAUUGCGACAAUGGAGCGCAGUCCUGAUCCAGCAAUGCCAGCGUGAGUGAUAGAAGGCCUUAGGGUUGUAAAGCUCUUUCGUCACUGCGACGAUGCAUGACGGGAUCAAGAGAAAAAGCCCCGGCUCAAUUCCGUGCCAGCAGCCGCGGUAAU
Molecule: ribosomal RNA, 181 nt
Filed under: uncultured bacterium
Lineage: Bacteria
Description: partial 16S ribosomal RNA
Rfam family: Bacterial small subunit ribosomal RNA
Source: RNAcentral